UUCGUAGGCGGUAGGCGGCAAGUUGGGAGUGAAAUCUCUGGGCUUAACCCAGAGGCUGCUUCCAAAACUGCUGUGCUUGAGUGUGGGAGAGGCGCGUGGAAUUGCAGGUGUAGCGGUGAAAUGCGUAGAUAUCUGCAGGAACACCCGUGGCGAAAGCGGCGCGCUGGACCACAACUGACGCUGAGGAACGAAAGCUAGGGGAGCAAACAGGAUUAGAUACCCUGGUAGUCCUAGCCCUAAACGAUCAGGACUUGGGGUGCCGCCCGUUCGGGCGUCGUCCCGGAGCUAACGCGUUAAGUCCUGCACCUGGGGAGUACGGUCGCAAGACUGAA
This 332-nucleotide ribosomal RNA is filed under the name uncultured bacterium. RNAcentral's name for it is "bacterial SSU rRNA". It matches the Rfam family "Bacterial small subunit ribosomal RNA", at positions 568 to 898 of the family's 1533-position model. The record is from RNAcentral.